GACGAACGCUGGCGGCGUGCUUAACACAUGCAAGUCGAACGGUGAAGCGCCUUCCUUUUUGGUGGGCGUGGAUGAGUGGCGAACGGGUGAGUAACACGUGAGUAACCUGCCCCCUCUUCUGGAUAACCGCAUGAAAGUGUGGCUAAUACGGGAUAUUCUGGGUCUGUCGCAUGAUGGGUCUGGGAAAGAUAUUGUUUCGGUGGGGGAUGGGCUCGCGGCCUAUCAGCUUGUUGGUGGGGUGAUGGCCUACCAAGGCGGUGACGGGUAGCCGGCCUGAGAGGGUGGACGGUCACACUGGGACUGAGACACGGCCCAGACUCCUACGGGAGGCAGCAGUGGGGAAUAUUGCACAAUGGGCGCAAGCCUGAUGCAGCGACGCCGCGUGAGGGAUGGAGGCCUUCGGGUUGUGAACCUCUUUCGCCAGUGAAGCAGGCCUGCCUCGUUUGUGGGUGGGUUGACGGUAGCUGGAUAAGAAGCGCCGGCUAACUACGUG
Molecule: ribosomal RNA, 493 nt
Filed under: uncultured bacterium
Lineage: Bacteria
Description: partial 16S ribosomal RNA
Rfam family: Bacterial small subunit ribosomal RNA
Source: RNAcentral